UUAACAUGGGGAAUGCAGAGGGGAUUCCCCUCGCCGGUUCAGAGGGGGUGCUCAGGAGCGUAAGCUCCGUCGAAGGGGGA
Molecule: non-coding RNA, 80 nt
Filed under: unclassified sequences
Description: Clostridiales-2 RNA
Rfam family: Clostridiales-2 RNA
Source: Rfam by way of RNAcentral